GACGAACGCUGGCGGCGUGCUUAACACAUGCAAGUCGAACGGAAAGGCCCUGCUUUUGUGGGGUGCUCGAGUGGCGAACGGGUGAGUAACACGUGAGUAACCUGCCCUUGACUUUGGGAUAACUUCAGGAAACUGGGGCUAAUACCGGAUAGGAGCUCCUGCUGCAUGGUGGGGGUUGGAAAGUUUCGGCGGUUGGGGAUGGACUCGCGGCUUAUCAGCUUGUUGGUGGGGUAGGGGCUUACCAAGGCUUUGACGGGUAGCCGGCCUGAGAGGGUGACCGGCCACGUUGGGACUGAGAUACGGCACAGACUCCUACGGGAGGCAGCAGUGGGGAAUAUUGCACAGUGGGAGGAAGCCUGAUGCAGCGACGCCGCGUGCGGGAUGACGGCCUGCGGGUUGUAAACCGCAUUCGCCUGUGACGAAGCGUGAGUGACGGUAAUGGGUGAAGAAGCACCGGCUAACUACGUG
RNAcentral lists this ribosomal RNA (468 nucleotides) under uncultured bacterium. RNAcentral describes it as "partial 16S ribosomal RNA". It matches the Rfam family "Bacterial small subunit ribosomal RNA", at positions 28 to 507 of the family's 1533-position model. The record is from RNAcentral.